Molecule: ribosomal RNA, 404 nt
Filed under: Bacteroidota bacterium
Lineage: Bacteria; Pseudomonadati; Bacteroidota
Description: Bacteroidetes bacterium partial 16S ribosomal RNA
Rfam family: Bacterial small subunit ribosomal RNA
Source: RNAcentral
UGGGGAAUAUUGCACAAUGGGGGAAACCCUGAUGCAGCGACGCCGCGUGAGCGAUGAAGGCUUUCGAGUCGUAAAGCUCUGUCCUAUGGGAAGAUAAUGACGGUACCAUAGAAGAAAGCCCCGGCUAAUUACGUGCCAGCAGCCGCGGUAAUACGUAAGGGGCGAGCGUUGUCCGGAAUUAUUGGGCGUAAAGAGUGCGUAGGCGGCAAAUUAAGUCAGAUGUGAAAACUAAGGGCUCAACCCAUAGAUUGCAUCUGAAACUGAUAUGCGUGAGUCAAGGAGGGGAAAGUGGAAUUCCUAGUGUAGCGGUGGAAUGCGUAGAUAUUAGGAGGAAUACCGGUGGCGAAGGCGACUUUCUGGACUUGAACUGACGCGGAGGCACGAAAGCGUGGGGAGCAAACAGG